GCGGCGUUGUGUGUGGAGGUCUUUCACGCGGGCAGUCCGCAGUGCGUCUUGCUGUGAAAACUCAAGCCAGUGAAACGGUGUGCUAGUGUCGGGAAACAAAAGUAGAAAUUUUACCGUUAUUUAACUUUUGUGCUCUAAAGAAGUGAUUAUUCGACUUGCAGGGUUUAAAAAGUGUUUUCAGCACGUGAUGGAUUACCGUGAAGCAGUGUAGACGCCGGCAAGCGGUCGUGCAACUCUUCGAGGGAUACCUUCUGUCAGUACAGUUGGAUGGCUGUGAAACGUGUGAAGCCACUCCUCGCUCCUUAUAAACGCCAAUCUCCAGUGUAAUCAUUACGUCUCUCUGGCUUAUUUGCUGCAGUGCGCGGUCCAUUGCAGUCGGCAGAACUGAACAUCUCCCGCUCUAUGCGAUGCGGCAUGGAGACGUCGCCGGAGCUGGAGGCGGCCGCGUGCCGCCCGCGGCGAGGCCAGCCGCCCCCGC
Molecule: long non-coding RNA, 478 nt
Organism: Schistocerca gregaria
Lineage: Eukaryota; Metazoa; Arthropoda; Insecta; Orthoptera; Acrididae
Exons: 4
Source: RefSeq, a predicted model, not a curated record